AAGACGGAGGUAACAGAUUGCACAAACACAUUGAAACAUUUUCAGCUGUUCACUAACACUGUUACAUUUUCUGGAAUUUUCAAUUGAAUGGGAAAAUACGAGAGACGAAUGCCCAAUUUUUCAAGAAGAAGAAAACGAAAAGCGCAGUUUAUUUUGGUUUUUAAAGAGAGUAAACGAAAAAGAUUAACAACGAGAAAAAGAAAUCAUUUAGAGCGUUUGGAUGCGUAUAACAAAGACGCACCAUUCAAUUAGCCGCAUCACCGGUGACUUGGAGGACGAGCA
Bactrocera neohumeralis is the source of this 282-nucleotide long non-coding RNA. RefSeq lists it as uncharacterized. Lineage: Eukaryota; Metazoa; Arthropoda; Insecta; Diptera; Tephritidae. The record is from RefSeq and is a predicted model, not a curated record. The transcript is spliced from 4 exons.